UACGUAGGGUGCAAGCGUUGUCCGGAAUUAUUGGGCGUAAAGAGCUCGUAGGCGGUUUGUCGCGUCUGCUGUGAAAACUGGAGGCUCAACCUCCAGCCUGCAGUGGGUACGGGCAAACUAGAGUGCGGUAGGGGGAGAUUGGAAUUCCUGGUGUAGCGGUGGAAUGCGCAGAUAUCAGGAGGAACACCGAUGGCGAAGGCAGAUCUCUGGGCCGUAACUGACGCUGAGGAGCGAAAGCGUGGGGGAGCGAACAGG
RNAcentral lists this ribosomal RNA (255 nucleotides) under uncultured bacterium. RNAcentral's name for it is "partial 16S ribosomal RNA". It matches the Rfam family "Bacterial small subunit ribosomal RNA", at positions 524 to 776 of the family's 1533-position model. The record is from RNAcentral.